RNAcentral lists this ribosomal RNA (147 nucleotides) under uncultured bacterium. RNAcentral's name for it is "partial 16S ribosomal RNA". It matches the Rfam family "Bacterial small subunit ribosomal RNA", at positions 95 to 241 of the family's 1533-position model. The record is from RNAcentral.
GUGGCGUAAGGGUGCGUAACACGUAUGCAAUCUGCCCGCAACAGGAGGAUAGCUCCCCGAUAAGGGGAAUUAAUACUCCAUAACACCAUUUGAGGGCAUCUGAAGAUGGUUAAACUACAACGGGUUGCGGAUGAGCAUGCGGUUGAU